This 3823-nucleotide long non-coding RNA is filed under the name Exaiptasia diaphana. RNAcentral describes it as "uncharacterized LOC114574669". The record is from RNAcentral. Lineage: Eukaryota; Metazoa; Cnidaria; Anthozoa; Actiniaria; Aiptasiidae.
ACUUUGCCGCCAGAGGUAGUCUUUCAAUUAAAAUAAGUGACUGACNCCUGUCAGUCAACUAUAUACAAGCAUCGUGAGCACUCAGUUGGGGAUCAAUGAAAAAAUAUUCAAAAUGCAGACAUAUUUCGUCGCUUGAAUUCAUCAUUUUACUGGUUUGCUUGGUUAAACGUUGGCGAAUAUUUGUCUAAGGAACCUAACGCUUGACAUGCCUCACGACAGUUGAUAGGCUUCCACGGUCGACCAUGUAACGUUAUUUCAGCUAAACGCAGCAAGCAAAGAGUAAUAGCCGAAAAUAGAUCUUGAGUCCAUGCUGUUGAAUACAUAAUGUCAUCAUUCAAGUNUAAGGGUUUUUUUUCCAGUUUCGAAAUAAUUAUUUAUGAAGCCCUUUGAGUUGAAUCUUUUGUUGAUCACUUGAACUUCGUUUCGAUAAAGAAAGAGAAUAUUUACAACUAAAGGAUUCACAUUGUUAUCGCUUUUCUUAAGUAAAGUGAAGCUAUAAUGAAACUAACAACACAAAAGAUGGUUGGAUUUAUCACGUUGUUUAAAUAUUUGNAAUGCUUAGAACAGACUGAACAUUUUGGCCUCUAUAAUCUGAUUUUUUUUUACCAUUAUUAAUCGUAUUUUUCUGUCACAAUGUUUUUCGGCUUAUUUCAUCGUUUACAGCCGGCUGUUGCUUAUCUNUUGCAUAACAGAGUCUUUCGCAAUUAGUAGUAGUUUAAAAUACCUUGUGCUNGCUUGCGAAGAAAUAGUUUUAGUAUUUUUUUUAUUUUAUUUUUUGUAAAUAUCAUAAUUAUUUUAUAGUGUUUGUUAUCAUCACAAUAACGUUUAGCUGGUAUCCUAGCAGUAAAGUAACCAACCAGGCCGCGCGUUUCCAGUAUACAUCUGAAUUGUGNGAAUAUGAUGAAAUUGUAUUAUCAUUAUUAGCAGUCUACGUCUAUGUUACCUCGCAUUACGUCUACGUUACGUGGCUCUAUGUUUACGUUACGUAACUCUUGACGUCUCAAUAUAACGUUACGUUGCUCUACGUAACGUUGCGUAUCUCUUCUCUGUACACUAGUUAUGCUGCAGUGCUACAAUCACAAUGCAAUCAGCUACCUAGUAACGUGGGCCAACUUCUCUUACUUUACAUAGCUCCACGCCUUCAGCGUUACGUAGCUAAUUCUUACGCAAAGUGAACUGUAUUUUGACAUGGACACCUCCGCAUNUAGUUGCCGCUGUAGUUCCGUCUAACUCUACAUUUUGGGUUACCUGAUAAAAGCGAAUCAGUGCAAGGACUGGAAACUGGUCCUUUUGUUUCCUUUUCCCUCCCCACUUUUUUGCGUUCAAGUGAAAACAGGAAACCCAGCAUAAAGAGGAAUGUCUGUCUAUUCAAAAAUUCUAACAUUUGAUUUUCAAUAUUAUUGAUUGAAUGCGUCAUUUAAUGCAUUUGAAGUUGUUAGUAAAAUAGCUUAAUCAGGGACAUACGAUCUUUUCUGAAGUAUCAUGUCUCCUCAGAAGAAUCCGCGCAGAAGAUGCUUGAAAACGAGCAACGAAAAUGCUGUCUCUGAUUCGGAAUUCAGUGGUUCCUUUUAUACAUGAUCAUUACACCUUGACUAACGGUUUUCAAUUCACAAUUUAUCGUAUCAAUCAAUUGGUAUUCGCAUAUUGUUUCACAUUUUCGCGCGAUUUCACAAUCCGAACAGGCUUAUGGGAAGGUAAAUCACCGAGGCAAGUACAUUUUAUUUCUCGUGUAAUAGAAUUUAUUAAUCGAUUACGAAGCGCCAUUCUUACAAAAUUAAGUGUCUCUNUCGUUGAAGAUGGUUAUCGAAAGCCUUUUGCAACAACAUAUUUUUGACAUUCAAUCUUUGCCGCAUUAAUCUAACAAAUAUCUGCGAUCAAUUUCUGUUAAAACGUGAUCUAAGCCAAAAACAAAUUAAAAACGACCUAUCAAUAAUUUAGACAAUAAUAUCAUGUGUCAACUAGCGCAGUCUAGAAUCCACGAAAGAGAAAAAUUAUGUUCUAACUGAGAAACGAAUAAAAGCUUAGCUCUAACUGCGAGUCGAAGAAUGGCUUGUGUGUGAUUCAAUCAAAUUAAUGUUAGCAAGGAUUAUACUUUUCACAGACAAAAGUUAUUAUAUAUUUUGCCUUACAUAAUGAUAACAAGUUUUGAAUAAUAUUUCCAUCCGCGGAAGUGCUUUUAGCUGCCCGCAACAGGAAAAAAAUUAAAGUGAUGUAAUAUUGGAGAACAGAUAAAAUACAAGCCAAACAGUCGACUUUUAUCGUGCAAAACUCCUGGCAUCGACGGCUCUUUCCAAUAUCGAUCACGACCGCAGCGAUAACAAAUCCUCAAAAAUAUCUAAAAGAAAUAUUAUCAAAGUGCCUUAUAUUUCAUGAAAACCUAGUUUUUACUGUGCGUUUGAUAUUCCCCAUCUUAGAAGUUGAUAGUAUUUCGAUUUCAAUGCAUUAGCACCUGCUAUAUUAUGUGUUCAAGGCUUUGAUUGGUUAGUUUGCCUGUAAAUAAGAUCUCCUGGUUGGUUUUGUCGAGUAAACUUCUAGUUCAGCUGUUGGAUAUUUGCAUAAUAUAUGCUUCGCUAACAACAGACUAAGUCAAACCUCACAAUGGCUACGACUAGCGGACGAUCAGGAAAUAAGACAUCUUUUGGAGUUCCAAAACUCUUUCCUCCUCUACCAUCACCGCUAGCGAAUCAUCCAAGAUCGCUAUACGAUGAAGUCAGUCAGUCUACAGACUAUGAUGAGAAGUAUCGUCUUCGGGAUUUACUUUCAUCGGACAAGAAUAACGACGAUAAAGAAAGGUAUGGUUAACCACANCAACUCUUAUGACUGUUUAGUAUAGAACUUUUGACCUCGAAGUUUAUGUCUGAGGUUCGUAAUACUUCAGCGCGCGGCUAUACAGCAGUUAUCAAGACAUAUACAUGGACAUAAAGCGCGCGUUCUGCUUAUUUGUUAUAGAAAGAUGUGCCUAAACCCUCGUUAAAAUUUAAUUCUCGUGAGCGCGAAGCGCUGUAUUUCGUAUAUUCACAUUANUCGCGUUUGAUUUUAUCGGUGAGUUUCAAAGCAGUCGUAUAUCGAAACUAUUUACUCCAAUAAUUUACUUUGCUGUGAGGGCUUUGAAUAAUUUUGCAUCCACAUCUGUAAAUUCCAUUCCUAUUUCACACGUAUAGUUUAAAAGCUAUAUACAAUAGUAUUUCGCGAUAAAAUACACUUUUAUAUUCGCAUAUGUAUUUUUAAAGCCUCUCUAUCAAAAUCUAUUUAUCGAGUUUAGUACAACAACUGGUAUUUAAAUAUUUCUUGUCGAAACGGAAUAUCAUAACACAUAGAAUGAAUGAAUAAAUUAUUCGUCAUUGAUUGGACCAUUCAGCUCACUUCUAUAAUCUACAAUGCAAUAUUUAUUUGGCAUUUGCUUCCAUACAAAAAGGAUCAGUUUAGAAUAUGAAACGAUCUCUAAUUAACGCGGAGUAUGGCUGAAAAUGCUCGUGUAGUUCAUUUCUAUAGUCUUUUUAAUUUCUUUUCGAUGUAUCUACAGAUGUGUGCGAUGUCUCGACUUGACGGCUGUUUCUGAAAAGCUACAAAAAACAAUAUCAUCAUUUUUCGCUUUUGUAAUGAAAAUCUUCCCUUUAAGAGCCAAUCAAGCAUGUUGAACAAGUUGACUGAUUGCUUAGUUCAUCAAACAGUCCUUGUGACUUCAAAAUUAAUGAUCGCUUUAAAGAUUUCCCAAACGAUUCGUUCUCAUCUGAGAAGCCACUUAUAAUGAAAAAAUUAAUAUUUUCUCGACAUUUUUAUGACUCUUUCUCUGAGAGAUUCAUGCAGUGGGCAACUCGAAGUG